GCGGGGAUAACUAUUGGAAACGAUAGCUAAUACCGCAUAAAAGUCGACAUUGCAUGAUGUUGACUUGAAAGGUGCAACUGCAUCACUAAGAGAUGGACCUGCGUUGUAUUAGCUAGUUGGUGAGGUAACGGCUCACCAAGGCGACGAUACAUAGCCGACCUGAGAGGGUGAUCGGCCACACUGGGACUGAGACACGGCCCAGACUCCUACGGGAGGCAGCAGUAGGGAAUCUUCGGCAAUGGGGGCAACCCUGACCGAGCAACGCCGCGUGAGUGAAGAAGGUUUUCGGAUCGUAAAGCUCUGUUGUAAGAGAAGAACGAGUGUGAGAGUGGAAAGUUCACGCUGUGACGGUAUCUUACCAGAAAGGGACGGCUAACUACGUGCCAGCAGCCGCGGUAAUACGUAGGUCCCGAGCGUUAUCCGGAUUUAUUGGGCGUAAAGCGAGCGCAGGCGGUUAGAUAAGUCUGAAGUGAAAUGCAUGGGCUCAACCCAUGAAUUGCUUUGGAAACUGUUUGGCUUGAGUGUCGGAGGGGUAAGCGGAAUUCCUAGUGUAGCGGUGAAAUGCGUAGAUAUUAGGAGGAACACCGGAGGCGAAGGCGGCUUACUGGACGACAACUGACGUUGAGGCUCGAAGGCGUGGGGAGCAAACAGGAUUAGAUACCCUGGUAGUCCACGCAGUAAACGAUGAAUACUUGGUGUCGGGGAGGUAAACUCUUCGGUGCCGCAAGCAAACGCAUUAAGUAUUCCACCUGGGGAGUACGUUCGCAAGAAUGAAACUCAAAGGAAUUGACGGG
Molecule: ribosomal RNA, 794 nt
Filed under: uncultured bacterium
Lineage: Bacteria
Description: bacterial SSU rRNA
Rfam family: Bacterial small subunit ribosomal RNA
Source: RNAcentral